CCUACGGGUGGCAGCAGUGGGGAAUAUUGCACAAUGGGGGAAACCCUGAAGCAGCAACGCCGCGUGAGCGAUGAAGGCCUUCGGGUCGUAAAGCUCUGUCCUAAGGGAAGAAGCAUGACGGUACCUUAGGAGGAAGCCCUGGCUAACUACGUGCCAGCAGCCGCGGUAAUACGUAGGGGGCAAGCGUUAUCCGGAAUAACUGGGUGUAAAGGGUGCGUAGGCGGUAGGGCAAGUCAGAUGUGAAAGCCCGGAGCUCAACCCCGGGAUUGCAUUUGAAACUGUCUUACUAGAGUGCAGGAGAUGAAAGCGGAAUUACUAGUGAAGCGGUGAAAUGCGUAGAUAUUAGGAAGAACACCAGUGGGGAAGGCGGCUUUCUAGACUGUAACUGACGCUGAGGCACGAAAGCGUGGGGAGCGAACAGGAUUAGAUACCCCUGUAGUC
RNAcentral lists this ribosomal RNA (441 nucleotides) under uncultured bacterium. RNAcentral's name for it is "bacterial SSU rRNA". It matches the Rfam family "Bacterial small subunit ribosomal RNA", at positions 338 to 795 of the family's 1533-position model. The record is from RNAcentral.